AUGGCUCGUAGUUCUAUGACUGGCAAGAAUGCAUGGGGGCCUGUAGUUGCUCCUAGGAUGAGUAACAGAAUUCAGAGAGAUGGGAAAAAUGCUAUUCAGAGAGCUUCUGAUUUGCUAAAAGUCAAAAACCUCGAAAUUCCUAAGACAAGUGAACUCCGAGUGAUUUGGAUGAAUGAGGAGAUCAAAGCAAGACAGAGAUCCAGGGAGAGAGAUAUCCUUGAAGGACGUGCUGAGAAACGCUGCAAGCUGGUGCGAUCUGUGGAAGGUGCUCUGCACUGGAGCAGAUCGGUCAAGGUUGAUGGAUGCCACCAAGGCGGUCUGGGAGCUUGCAAGAAGGCCUCCUAUGCUACUCUGGCCGAAUCCAGGCUGAAGAAGAAGGAUCAUGUGCCCCCCUCGAGGCCCUCCAUGCUUAAGUGUUGCACGAUGGGAGUGGGGUGUGAUGCUGUGGUGCUGACGCCCAUCUACCCCACCUGA
This 474-nucleotide ribosomal RNA is filed under the name Triticum aestivum (bread wheat). RNAcentral's name for it is "partial small subunit ribosomal RNA". The record is from RNAcentral. Lineage: Eukaryota; Viridiplantae; Streptophyta; Magnoliopsida; Poales; Poaceae.